RNAcentral lists this transfer RNA (73 nucleotides) under Deltaproteobacteria bacterium. RNAcentral describes it as "tRNA-Ala". It matches the Rfam family "tRNA". Rfam says of the family: Transfer RNA (tRNA) molecules are approximately 80 nucleotides in length. The record is from RNAcentral. Lineage: Bacteria; Pseudomonadati; Myxococcota; Myxococcia.
GGGGCAGUAGCUCAGUUGGGAGAGCAUCACGUUCGCAACGUGGGGGUCGUGGGUUCAAAUCCCAUCUGCUCCA